RNAcentral lists this unclassified non-coding RNA (229 nucleotides) under rhizosphere metagenome. Its description in RNAcentral is "partial ribosomal RNA internal transcribed spacer region". The record is from RNAcentral.
GUAGGUGAACCUGCGGAAGGAUCAUUACAGUAGUCACCCAGGUUGCCGCAAGGCCUCCUGGGUAACCUACCACCCUUUGUUUAUUACACUUUGUUGCUUUGGCAAGCCUGCCCUCGGGCUGCUGGCUCCGGCCGGCGAGCGCUUGCCAGAGGACCUAAACUCUGUUUGUCUAUACUGUCUGAGUACUAUAUAAUAGUUAAAACUUUCAACAACGGAUCUCUAGGCUCUU